AGGAAUAUUGGUCAAUGGGCGCGAGCCUGAACCAGCCAAGUAGCGUGAAGGAUGAAGGUCCUACGGAUUGUAAACUUCUUUUAUAAGGGAAUAAAGUCAUCUACGUGUAGGUGUUUGUAUGUACCUUAUGAAUAAGCAUCGGCUAACUCCGUGCCAGCAGCCGCGGUAAUACGGAGGAUGCGAGCGUUAUCCGGAUUUAUUGGGUUUAAAGGGAGCGUAGACGGGUCGUUAAGUCAGCUGUGAAAGUUUGGGGCUCAACCUUAAAAUUGCAGUUGAUACUGGCGUCCUUGAGUACGGUUGAGGCAGGCGGAAUUCGUGGUGUAGCGGUGAAAUGCUUAGAUAUCACGAAGAACCCCGAUUGCGAAGGCAGCCUGCUAAACCGCCACUGACGUUGAGGCUCGAAAGUGUGGGUAUCAAACAGGAUUAGAUACCCUGGUAGUCCACACGGUAAACGAUGGAUACUCGCUGUUGGCGAUAGACUGUCAGCGGCUUAGCGAAAGCGUUAAGUAUCCCACCUGGGGAGUACGCCGGCAACGGUGAAACUCAAAGGAAUUGACGGGGGCCCGCACAAGCGGAGGAACAUGUGGUUUAAUUCGAUGAUACGCGAGGAACCUUACCCGGGCUUGAAUUGCAGACGAAUUGCUUGGAAACAGGCAAGCCGCAAGGCGUCUGUGAAGGUGCUGCAUGGUUGUCGUCAGCUCGUGCCGUGAGGUGUCGGCUUAAGUGCCAUAACGAGCGCAACCCUCGUGUCCAGUUACUAGCAGGUUAUGCUGAGGACUCUGGACAGACUGCCAUCGUAAGAUGUGAGGAAGGUGGGGAUGACGUCAAAUCAGCACGGCCCUUACGUCCGGGGCUACACACGUGUUACAAUGGGGGGUACAGCAGGCAGCUACCGGGCGACCGGAUGCCAAUCCCGAAAGCCUCUCUCAGUUCGGACUGGAGUCUGCAACCCGACUCCACGAAGCUGGAUUCGCUAGUAAUCGCGCAUCAGCCACGGCGCGGUGAAUACGUUCCCG
Molecule: ribosomal RNA, 1016 nt
Filed under: uncultured bacterium
Lineage: Bacteria
Description: bacterial SSU rRNA
Rfam family: Bacterial small subunit ribosomal RNA
Source: RNAcentral